CUGCGGCACCCAGUUGGCUCUCAGAGCCUGAGACGUUGGCUGCUGGUCUGGCUACGCUGCUGCCUCCCUUCGGCCCGCCCUGCUUGGCGCGGGGACCGCUGCGCACCGCUUCGGCUGUCGUUUCGGUCGGAACAGACUGCUGAGCGCUCUCCUCUCCGAUCCUGAUUGCGUCAGUGUGUAACAUUAUUUCUCAAUGCCUGCCAUAAAGCUGAGCUAUGCCCACUGUUGAGAGUGAAGCCAAAGCAAAAACCAAAGUUCGCUUUGAAGAAUUACUUAAGACCCACAAUGAUCUAAUUCGUGAAAGAAAAAAACUGAAGAAAAAACUUGCCAAAUCUAGAGAAAGCGUCCCAUUCGGCACUGUUAAAAGCAGUCUUCAUAAUAUUAAAGAUACUAAAAGUGAUGAUGUAAGUUGUAUUAACACUAAUAACCCAGAGAAGAGCAUGCGAGUCAGUAAAAACAAACUGAGGAAUACGCAUUCAGCAGCUGAAGAUCCAAAUAAUGUCAUCAGUGUAGAGGAAGACAAGCAAGGAAAGCCAAGUAAAAAAGUUACAAAGACUGCACAAGAAAUGGAACCAGAAACUUCUGAGAAGGUAGAUUCUGCACAUCAGAAAAUUCGAACAAAGUCACUGUCUGGUGUUGAUCAUCAAAAAAGUGAUAAGACAAAGGAAGGAAAAGAAAACAAUAAUUUAGAAGGGGAAGAAGAACUCAUGCAAGCAUAUCAGCUCCAGGUAGCUGAAGAAAUGGCAAAGGAGAUUAAGAAGAAAAUAAGGAAGAAACUAAAAGAACAGUUGACUUACUUUCCCUCAGAUACUUUAUUGCAUGAUGACAAAUUGAGCAGUGAAAAAAGAAAAAAGAAAAAAAAGAAAAUUCCAGCCAUGUCUAAAGCUGAAACAAGCACAUUGAACAUCUCUGAUGACACUGUUGAGGGUGAACAAAAGGAAGACUUUCCAGUUGGAAACAUUACUUCAGAUUCUCAUCAAGAUGAUGAAAUAAGCUCAGUGGAACAAAAUGUGGAUGAUAAUAUGCCAGAUAACACAAAAUCCAAACCAAAAAAGACAAAAAAGAAGUCUAAAGCAGUUUCAGAUGAUAAUGAUGACAUUGAUGGUGAUGGUGUUCAUGAAAUAACAAGCCGAGAUAGUCCAGUUUAUCCCAAAUGCUUGCUCGAUGAUGACCUUGUCUUGGGAGUUUACAUUCACCGAACUGAUCGACUUAAAUCAGAUUUUAUGAUUUCUCACCCAAUGGUAAAAAUUCAUGUGGUUGACGAGAAUACUGGUCAAUAUGUCAAGAAAGAUGAUAGUGAACGACCUGUAUCUUCUUACUAUGAAAAAGAGAGUGUGGAUUAUAUUCUUCCUAUUAUGACUCAGCCAUAUGAUUUUAAACAAUUAAAAUCAAGACUUCCAGAGUGGGAAGAACAAAUUAUAUUUAAUGAAAAUUUUCCCUCUUUGCUUCGAGAGUUUGAUGAGAGUCCUAAAGUCAUCUUGUUCUUUGAGAUUGUUGAUUUUUUGAGCAUGGAUGAAAUUAAGAAUAACUCUGAGGUUCAAAACCAAGAAUGUGGCUUUCGGAAAAUUGCCUGGGCAUUUCUUAAGCUACUGGGAGCCAAUGGAAAUGCAAAUAUCAAUUCAAAACUUCGCUUGCAACUGUACUACCCACCUACUAAACCUCGAUCCCAAUUAAAUGUUGUUGAGGUUUUUGAAUGGUGGUCCAAAUGUCCAAGAAAUCGUUAUCCAUCAACAUUGUAUGUAACUGUGCGAGGAUUGAAAGUUCCAGACUGUAUAAAACCAUCUUACCGCUCUAUGACGGCACUACAGGAGGAGAAAGGUAAACCAGUAUAUUGCGAACGUCACCGUGAAUCAAGUUCAGUAGACACAGAUCCUGGAUUAGAAGAUUCAAAGGAAGUAGUAAAAUGGAAACGACUUCCUGGGCAGGCUUGCCGUAUUCCAAACAAGCACCUCUUCUCACUGAAUGCAGGAGAGCGAGGAUGUUUUUGUCUUGAUUUCUCCCACAAUGGAAGAAUAUUAGCAGCAGCCUGUGCCAGCCGGGAUGGAUAUCCGAUUAUAUUAUAUGAAAUUCCUUCUGGACGUUUCAUGAGAGAAUUGUGUGGCCACCUCAAUAUCAUAUAUGACCUUUGCUGGUCAACAGAUGAUCGCUAUAUCCUUACUUCAUCUUCUGAUGGUACUGCCAGGAUAUGGAAAAAUGAAAUAAACAAUACAAAUACUUUCAGGGUUUUACCUCAUCCUUCUUUUGUUUACACUGCUAAAUUUCAUCCAGCUGUAAGAGAGCUAGUGGUGACAGGAUGCUAUGAUUCUAUGAUACGGAUAUGGAAAGUUGAUAUGAGAGAAGAUUCUGCCAUAUUGGUUCGACAAUUUGAUGCUCACAAGAGUUUUAUCAACUCUGUCUGUUUUGAUGCUGAAGGUCAUCACAUGUAUUCAGGAGACUGCACGGGGGUGAUUGUUGUUUGGAAUACUUACGUCAAAGUUAAUGAUUUGCAGCAUUCAGUGCGCCACUGGACUAUAGAUAAGGAAAUUAAGGAAACUGAAUUUAAGGGCAUUCCAAUAAGUUAUUUGGAGGUUCAUCCCAAUGGAAAACGUUUAUUAAUCCAUACCAAAGACAGUACUUUGAGAAUUAUGGAUCUCCGAAUAUUAGCAGCAAGGAAAUUUGUAGGUGCAGCAAAUUACCGUGAGAAGCUUCAUAGUACUUUAACACCAUGUGGGACUUUUCUCUUUGCUGGAAGUGAAGAUGGCGUAGUAUAUGUUUGGAACCCUGAAACGGGAGAACAAGUAGCAAUGUAUUCUGACCUGCCAUUCAAGUCACCCAUUCGAGACAUUUCUUACCAUCCAUUUGAAAAUAUGGUUGCAUUUUGUGCAUUUGGACAGAAUGAACCCAUUCUUCUUUACAUUUAUGAUUUCCAUGUAGCCCAGCAGGAGGCUGAAAUGUUCAAACGCUACAAUGGAACAUUUCCAUUACCUGGAAUACACCAAAGCCAAGAUGCUUUAUGUACCUGUCCUAAACUGCCUCAUCAAGGCUCUUUUCAAAUUGAUGAAUUUGUUCAUACUGAAAAUUCUUCAACAAAGAUGCAGAUAGUGAAGCAGAGACUUGAAACUGUCACAGAGGUGAUACGAUCCUGUGCUGCAAAAGUCAACAAAAAUCUCUCGUUAACUUCACCACCACCAGCGUCCUCACAACAGUCUAAGUUAAAACAGUCAAACUCGCUAUCCGCUCAUGAGAUUCUGCAUCAGUUUGGUUUCACUCAGACCGGGAUUAUCAGCAUAGAAAGAAGGCCUUGUAACCAUCAAGUAGAUUCACCUCCAACGCCUUGGAGCCAAGACCAAGAUGCUGACAGGAUUGAUUCUUCUGAGGCCUAUCUUGGUUUGUAGAUAGUCACCUUCUCAUUAUGUCCCCACACAACCUUUUUCUCUGUCAUAUAUGCUCCUGCUGUCUCUUCCUUUUCUUAUAAAGACACUCGUCCCAUUGAUCAGGAAUCUACCCUCAUGACCUCAUUCAACCAUAAUUGCUUCCUUAAAGGCCAUAUUUACAAGUACAGUAUUGAGGGUGUAAUUCAGUCCAUAACAUUCAUACACUGUAGAACAUCAAUGUUGGUAAGUCUUGCCAGGUGACUUGACGUAUGUAUUUAGUUAUGUAAGAGAAUAUAGUAAUCAGUGGAUACUGUAAUAGGAAAAAUGUAUUUUGGGACCUUAUACAAGUUUUUGUGGACCCCUGUAACAAUGAAGGGAUUCUUUGAUCAACAAAUCCUCAUGAAAUAUCCAGUAAAAGUUUCUAAACUUCAGUUUGAAGAGCUCCAGAUUGCUAGUAGUCCCCACAGUGAUAAGCCUGAUAUGGAACUUCCUAAAUGAUUCUAGUGCCUGAACUGACUGCCUCCUGUUCUCCUUUCCAGCAGCCCACCUAGGACUCAGAUAAAUAAGCAUACAUUGAUCUUGUCUUUGCAUAAGACUCAUUAAGGUUGUGGUAUCUCAGUAUGGCAGAGCCGGGAUGAGGAACAAUAGGAACAAACCCAUGUCUUGGGACUGGGGUUUUGUGUGUCAUGAAAGGGACUCAGUGGGCCUGCAGGUGAUCCAGGACAGUUGGUGUUCUUAGCAUAAGGAACUCUUUUUGUGCCACUAUCCAAAAAUGCAUUUUAACCUUCUUUCCUCUUUGCUUCUUUUUCCCCAUAGGUGAUUCUAGACAAAGGUGGCCUAUAAAUAGGUUUGGUUUUGUGAGAAAAAGAAAAAUCUGGGUUAUAAGUCUUGAUCAUACCACUUACUAAUUUAUUUGACUUACUAGUUUAUUUAACUUUAAUUUACCAGUUAUUAUUUGUACAUCAAAUUCCUCCUUUGUCCAGUGAAAAUAAGAAUAUCUACCCUCAGAGUUUUCAUGUGGGCUUAAUAAGAUAAUACACAAGCACCUACCAUGAAGUUCAGAACAGGUAUUCAGUUUUUAAAAUUAGUUUUUCUCUUUCAUGGUAGUGCCAAGUGGGAGAAUGAAGACAAGGAUAACAGGAGAAGGAAGAACAAAGGGAAAAAUUAAAGUUUCUACUUUCACAUAAGGUUUAGCAUCAUCAUACUAUAAGAGAUUUAUUUAUAAACCUUAAUGUCCUGCACUGCAUGAUGUAAAUUAGGUACUAUGCUAGGUAGUACUAUAAGCAUUGCAUUUGAACCAUUUAGAUUAUCAUUACUGCCCUUAUACCAAAUAGUGACAAGUUAAUUCCAAACUGAUUAAUUAAAAUCACCUGUUGAUAUGUUAAUAAAUCUUACUGUUUUUAAAGGUACCAGAACUGUUUUGUGAACACUAAUAGAAUCCCCUUCCAUCUUUCCAUUGGCAAUAUUAUUGAGUCUGAACUCCUUUGCCAUUCAUGAUCUGACCCCUACUUCCUCCCUCAGCCCUAACCUCCCUCACCCUGCAUCUUGACACUCACCCACAAUGCCAGGCUCCCUUUAUACUGAACUAUUUUGAGUUUGUCUUUGCUGGACUCUCAUACAUGUGGUGAAAUCUGGCUGAGAUACACUUCCCCUCACUACCCAGUGAAUUCCUGAUUAUUUUUUAGUUUUCCUGCAAAUGCUUAAUGAAAUAUCUCUUGUAGAUAUUGUCCUAUUUACCAGGUAUAGUUAAUAAAGCAGCAGGCACAUUAAGAUUUCAGUAGUUAAGUGAAUGAAUCAGUACUCAAUCUAAUUGCAAAUGAUUACAAUGAUUUUCUAUUUCAUCUAUAGUUGUGUAAGCUGUAUAUUUGCAAACCCUUUCUAAAUAAGGGGAAAAAAGUAGAAUAAGUAUAUUCUUCAGAUCUAAUAUGGAUCAAGUACUUCAGAUCUAAUAUGGAUCAAGAUCUCCCUUCCUUCAACUGCUAUGAGGGAUUUUUAAGUGCCGGUGCAGCCACUACCAUACCAUUUUUGACUUGAGUUUUUCCAAAGGAAAAAAAAUCAAAUAAAAUGAUUACUAUAAUAAUACAAAGAAGAAAAUUCUCACAGAAAGAACUUUCCUAUUAAAUUUGGACCUAGUGAAAGUGAAAGUAAGCUUAGAAGGAUGUUUUCAAAGAUAGAAGAUUUAGAUUGUUUACAUAAAACACCAAAAACUAUGUUUUUCUAGAGAAACAUCUCAAAAAGAGACAUUAACAGUAAACCAAGCGAUCACAACAAAAUUGUGCAAUCAGGUUGUUCCAUUGAGCUUUUCCUUUUUGUAAAACUAUUAACCUUCUGAAGAAUUUUCUUUCAGGUGCAUCUGCUUGCACAGAGAACAGGAUCUAAAGGUAGUGGCUCUUUAUGACUAUACAGCGAGCCGAUCAGAUGAACUAACCAUCCAUCGUGGAGACAUUAUCCGAGUGUUUUUCAAAGAUAAUGAAGACUGGUGGUAUGGCAGCAUAGGAAAGGG
RNA transcript from Sciurus carolinensis (gray squirrel), 5856 nucleotides. It is a transcript of the gene named Abelson helper integration site 1, with no coding region annotated. The transcript is spliced from 23 exons. Lineage: Eukaryota; Metazoa; Chordata; Mammalia; Rodentia; Sciuridae. The record is from RefSeq and is a predicted model, not a curated record.